UACGUAGGGUGCAAGCGUUAAUCGGAAUUACUGGGCGUAAAGCGUGCGCAGGCGGUUGUGCAAGACAGAUGUGAAAGCCCCGGGCUUAACCUGGGAAUUGCAUUUGUGACUGCACGGCUAGAGUGCGUCAGAGGGGGGUGGAACUCCGCGUGUAGCAGUGAAAUGCGUAGAGAUGCGGAAGAACACCGAUGGCGAAGGCAGCCCCCUGGGAUGACACUGACGCUCAUGCACGAAAGCGUGGGGAGCAAACAGG
Molecule: unclassified non-coding RNA, 253 nt
Filed under: uncultured Gammaproteobacteria bacterium
Lineage: Bacteria; Pseudomonadati; Pseudomonadota; Gammaproteobacteria
Description: contains 16S-23S intergenic spacer region
Rfam family: Bacterial small subunit ribosomal RNA
Source: RNAcentral